UACGGAGGGAGCUAGCGUUGUUCGGAAUUACUGGGCGUAAAGCGCGCGUAGGCGGCUAUUCAAGUCAGGGGUGAAAUCCCGGGGCUCAACCCCGGAACUGCCUUUGAAACUGGAUGGCUAGAAUCCUGGAGAGGCGAGUGGAAUUCCGAGUGUAGAGGUGAAAUUCGUAGAUAUUCGGAAGAACACCAGUGGCGAAGGCGACUCGCUGGACAGGUAUUGACGCUGAGGUGCGAAAGCGUGGGGAGCAAACAGG
RNAcentral lists this ribosomal RNA (253 nucleotides) under uncultured bacterium. RNAcentral describes it as "partial 16S ribosomal RNA". It matches the Rfam family "Bacterial small subunit ribosomal RNA", at positions 524 to 776 of the family's 1533-position model. The record is from RNAcentral.